GAUGAACGCUGGCGGCGUGCUUAGCACAUGCAAGUCGAACGGGAUCCAAGGGGUGCUUGCACUUUUUGGUGAGAGUGGCGAACGGGUGAGUAACACGUGAGUAACCUGUCCUUUUCUUUGGGAUAAGCAUUCGAAAGGGUGUUUAAUACCUUAUGUUCUGUCUGCCUCGCAUGGGGUGGGUGGGAAAGGCUUUGGCCGGAUUUGGGUGGGCUCGCGGUCUAUCAGCUUGUUGGUGGGGUGAUGGCUUACCAAGGCUUUGACGGGUAGCCGGCCUGAGAGGGUGGUCGGUCACAUUGGGACUGAGAUACGGCCCAGACUCCUGCGGGAGGCAGCAGUGGGGGAUAUUGCACAAUGGGCGAAAGCCUGAUGCAGCGACGCCGCGUGGGGGAUGAAGGCCUUCGGGUUGUAAACUUCUUUUGCUCUGAACAAGGCAUGCCAGUGGGUGUGUUGAGUGUAGGGGUUGAUUAGCGCCGGCUAACUACGUG
This 485-nucleotide ribosomal RNA is filed under the name uncultured bacterium. Its description in RNAcentral is "partial 16S ribosomal RNA". It matches the Rfam family "Bacterial small subunit ribosomal RNA", at positions 28 to 507 of the family's 1533-position model. The record is from RNAcentral.